AGUAAUAUAUCGGAACGUACCCUGGAGUGGGGGAUAACGUAGCGAAAGUUACGCUAACCGCAUAAGAUCUAAGGAUGAAAGCAGGGGACCGCAAGGCCUUGUGCUCCUGGAGCGGGAUAUCUGAUUAGCUAGUUGGUAGGGUAAAAGCCUACCAAGGCAUCGAUCAGUAGCUGCUGAGAGGACGACCAGCCACACUGGAACUGAGACACGGUCCAGACUCCUACGGGAGGCCAGUGGGGAAUUUUGGACAAUGGGCGCAAGCCUGAUCCAGCAAUGCCGCGUGAGUGAAAGGCCUUCGGGUUGUAAAGCUCUUUUGUCAGGGAAGAAAAGGCUACGGAUAAUACCUGGCUCAUGACGGUACCUGAAGAAUAAGCACCGGCUAACUACGUGCCAGCAGCCGCGGUAACGUAGGGUGCAAGCGUUAAUCGGAAUUACUGGGCGUAAAGCGUGCGCAGGCGGUUUUUAGACUGUCGUGAAAUCCCCGGGCUCAACCUGGGAAUGGCGAUGGUGACUGCAAGGCUAGUUUGGCAGAGGGGGGUAGAAUUCCACGUGUAGCAGUGAAAUGCGUAGAUAUGUGGAAACACCGAUGGCGAAGGCAGCCCCCUGGGUCAAAACUGACGCUCAUGCACGAAAGCGU
Molecule: ribosomal RNA, 637 nt
Filed under: uncultured bacterium
Lineage: Bacteria
Description: bacterial SSU rRNA
Rfam family: Bacterial small subunit ribosomal RNA
Source: RNAcentral